AAUUUUACUCUUUGUUGCUGAAUCAAAGUUGUAGAUCACUUCGAGCUAAUGAAUUUGGGCACAAAAAUCACUUGAUUUGGAGUUCAGAGCUAUGAGUUAUGGUCUUUUUGUAGAUCACUUCGAGCUAAUGAAUUUGAGAACAAAAAUCGCUCAAUUUGGAGUUCGGAGCUAUGAGUUACGCCUUAAACAAGUUCAGCACUAUUGUUGUAUCUUGUGUUGCGCUGCUGCCGUGAUUGGCUUGCUUGCCUUGUUGCUGUCAUUAUUUUGGUAUUCCUUUACAUGUGAAGGUAUAAGCUAAUUUUUCUUAAUCCCUCAUCUCCUUUAUUCCAAUUCAAGUGUGGUGCAAUUGGAUUUUAUAUUCUGAUUUUAGAAAUAAACUUGGUUCUCAAUUUUGUUAUUAAUUAGCAAAUAUAAUUAUGAUAAGAAUUGUUAAACUUAAAGAUUGAAUAUUUUAUCUUUCUUAUUGGAUUGAAGCUUCUAAUAUGAAGUAAGCCUCUUAAGUAAGUUUAUAAAAACUGAUUUAAUAAAUUAUGUCGUUUGAUAAUACUCUUUGAAAUCAGAAUGAUGUUAAUUAGAGAUGGAAUUGAUGUUGUGAGUUGGAUUAGUAGAAUGGGUUGUAUAUAAGAGUUGUGGUGGUUAGUUCAUGGAAGAGCUUAGAAAGUAUGAGUAAUUCAAUUUGUUUAUCUAAAUUGUUGUGAGGAUGGUUAAUGAUUGUUGUUAUUGUUUUGAGGUCGAUGUUGGAGUAUGUAUAUGGAGAUAAUUUAUGAAGUUCGAGCUAUAGUUGGUUAUCCAGAAUGUCGAAUUAUUGGGAAUCGUGUAAAGAGUUCAUUGUUAGUGAUUUGCAGGGUUGAUGUCGAGGUCGUGGAAUAUGAUUAUUGAUCAAGAAGAAGAGUUUUAUGCUAUGAAAUGGUGGGCUGAGGUUAAAGUUAGAUGUUUUGUUUCAAAGUAUUCGUAAUCUGUUAUUUGGUUUUCAAGUUGUUAUAUUGUGGGCCCCUGACCCACAGAUCCAGGAUCGUUUUUAUAGGUUUUGUUUCCGCUGUAAAUAAAUGCAAAUUCGAGGUUUGUUAAGUGUUGAUUGUGUUUUGUGUAUCUUAACUGUGAUUAGUUAGCAGCUCGGAAGUGCGGGCUGUUACAGGUGUGAAUAAAUGUAAAUUCGAGGUUUGUUAAGUGUUGAUUAUGUUUUGUGUAUCUUAAUUGUGAUUAGUUAGCAGCUCGAAAGUGCGGGCUGUUACAGGUGGUAUCAGAGCAUGGUUGUUUUAGAGUUGUCCUGAUCUUCAUAUCAUGGCAUACGAGUUAAGAAAGAUAUUUGGGAUUGUUCGAAAUUGCUUAGGGUUAUUGGUUGGUUAAGAGUUGAGGAAUAGAGAUUGAGAUGUUGAAGGUUCAAUAUUGAGAUUGAAAAUUUGUAAAAGUGAAAAGUUUUGUUGGAGUUUAGCU
Long non-coding RNA from Beta vulgaris subsp. vulgaris (sugar beet), 1434 nucleotides. RefSeq lists it as uncharacterized. The record is from RefSeq and is a predicted model, not a curated record. The transcript is spliced from 3 exons. Lineage: Eukaryota; Viridiplantae; Streptophyta; Magnoliopsida; Caryophyllales; Amaranthaceae.